AUGCUUAACACAUGCAAGUCGAACGGUAGCAGGCCUUCGGGCGCUGACGAGUGGCGGACGGGUGAGUAAUGCAUAGGAAUCUGCCUAUUAGUGGGGGACAACGUGGGGAAACUCACGCUAAUACCGCAUACGCCCUACGGGGGAAAGCGGGGGAUCUUCGGACCUCGCGCUAAUAGAUGAGCCUAUGUUGGAUUAGCUAGUUGGUAGGGUAAAGGCCUACCAAGGCGACGAUCCAUAGCUGGUCUGAGAGGAUGAUCAGCCACACUGGGACUGAGACACGGCCCAGACUCCUACGGGAGGCAGCAGUGGGGAAUAUUGGACAAUGGGCGAAAGCCUGAUCCAGCAAUACCGCGUGUGUGAAGAAGGCCUGAGGGUUGUAAAGCACUUUCAAUAGGAAGGAAUACCUAUCGGCUAAUACCCGGUAGACUGACAUUACCUAUACAAGAAGCACCGGCUAACUCCGUGCCAGCAGCCGCGGUAAUACGGAGGGUGCAGGCGUUAAUCGGAAUUACUGGGCGUAAAGCGUGCGUAGGCGGUGAUUUAAGUCAGAUGUGAAAGCCCUGGGCUUAACCUGGGAACUGCAUUUGAUACUGGGUCACUAGAGUUUAGUAGAGGAGAGUGGAAUUUCAGGUGUAGCGGUGAAAUGCGUANAGAUCUGAAGGACNCCAGUGG
Molecule: ribosomal RNA, 672 nt
Filed under: uncultured bacterium
Lineage: Bacteria
Description: bacterial SSU rRNA
Rfam family: Bacterial small subunit ribosomal RNA
Source: RNAcentral